GCUGCAUUUUAACAAUUAGUGUCAAAGAAACUGAUCUAGAAGGAACAUGAUUUUACAAAUGCAUUUGCUCUGGCUGCUGUUCUCUGUGUUUGGAGAAUCCAGCGGGCAGAUUGUUAUCACUCAAACACCUGCUUCUGUGAUGGUGCUUCCAGGAGAGACGGUCACCAUUCAGUGCAAGGCUUCCAGCUCCAUGAGUAACGAUAUGCAAUUGCAUCUGUUUAAAUCAGGACAAAAUCCCAAACUCCUUAUAUAUAAUGGAGGCACCCGCUUCACCGGGGUCCCCGAUCGAUUCAGUGGUCGAUACAGCGGCACUGACUUCACAUUCACCAUUAGUGGCGUGCAGGCUGAUGAUGAAGGUGACUACUACUGUCAGCAAGACAAUAGCUUCCCUCUCACAGUGAUACAACUCAAUGCAAAAACCUCAUUAGUGCUGCAGCCUUCUUGGCAUGAAGCAGAAGGAAACAGCUGCAGUUGUAUCUAA
Molecule: non-coding RNA, 481 nt
Organism: Chelonoidis abingdonii (Abingdon island giant tortoise)
Lineage: Eukaryota; Metazoa; Chordata; Testudines; Testudinidae
Source: the annotation of a RefSeq genome assembly